UACGUAGGGUGCAAGCGUUAUCCGGAAUUAUUGGGCGUAAAGAGCUCGUAGGCGGUUUGUCGCGUCUGCUGUGAAACUGGAGGCUCAACCUCCAGCCUGCAGUGGGUACGGGCAGACUAGAGUGCGGUAGGGAGAUUGGAAUUCCUGGUGUAGCGGUGGAAUGCGCAGAUAGUCGAGGAGGAACACCGAUGGCGAAGGCAGAG
Molecule: ribosomal RNA, 203 nt
Filed under: uncultured bacterium
Lineage: Bacteria
Description: partial 16S ribosomal RNA
Rfam family: Bacterial small subunit ribosomal RNA
Source: RNAcentral